ACGGAGGCAGCAGUGGGGAAUAUUGCGCAAUGGCGCAAGCCUGAUGCAGCCAUGCCGCGUGUAUGAAGAAGGCCUUCGGGUUGUAAAGUACUUUCAGCGGGGAGGAAGGUGUUGUGGUUAAUAACCGCACAAUUGACGUUACCCGCAGAAGAAGCACCGGCUAACUCCGUCCAGCAGCCGCGGUAAUACGGAGGCUGCAAGCGUUAAUCGGAAUACUGGGCGUAAAGCGCACGCAGGCGGUCUGUCAAGUCGGAUGUGAAAUCCCCGGGCUCAACCUGGGAACUGCAUUCGAAACUGGCAGGCUUGAGUCUUGUAGAGGGGGGUAGAAUUCCAGGUGUAGCGGUGAAAUGCGUAGAGAUCUGGAGGAAUACCGGUGGCGAAGGCGGCCCCCUGGACAAAGACUGACGCUCAGGUGCGAAAGCGUGGGGAGCAAACAGGAUUAGAUACCCUGGUAGUCCACGCCGUAAACGAUGUCUACUUGGAGGUUGUGCCCUUGAGGCGUGGCUUCCGGAGCUAACGCGUUAAGUAGACCGCCUGGGGAGUACGGCCGCAAGGUUAAAACUCAAAUGAAUUGACGGGGGCCCGCACAAGCGGUGGAGCAUGUGGUUUAAUUCGAUGGAACGCGAAGAACCUUACCUGGUCUUGCAUCCACAGAACUUUCCAGAGAUGGAUUGGUGCCUUCGGGAACUGUGAGACAGGUGCUGCAUGGCUGUCGUCAGCUCGUGUUGUGAAAUGUUGGGUUAAGUCCCGCAACGACCGCAACCCUUAUCCUUUGUUGCCAGCGGUUAGGCCGGGAACUCAAAGGAGACUGCCAGUGAUAAACUGGAGGAAGGUGGGGAUGACGUCAAGUCAUCAUGGCCCUUACGACCAGGGCUACACACUGCUACAAUGGCGCAUACAAAGAGAAGCGACCUCGCGAGAGCAAGCGGACCUCAUAAAGUGCGUCGUAGUCCGGAUUGGAGUCUGCAACUCGACUCCAUGAAGUCGGAAUCGCUAGUAAUCGGGAUCAGAAUGCCACGGUGAAUACGUUCCCGGGCCUUGUACACACCGCCCGUCACACCAUGGGAGUGGGUUCAAAGAA
RNAcentral lists this ribosomal RNA (1081 nucleotides) under Salmonella enterica subsp. enterica serovar Typhimurium. RNAcentral's name for it is "bacterial SSU rRNA". It matches the Rfam family "Bacterial small subunit ribosomal RNA", at positions 341 to 1423 of the family's 1533-position model. The record is from RNAcentral. Lineage: Bacteria; Pseudomonadati; Pseudomonadota; Gammaproteobacteria; Enterobacterales; Enterobacteriaceae.